GAAUUCAACUCCUACGGGAGGCAGCAGUGGGGAAUUUUGGACAAUGGGCGCAAGCCUGAUCCAGCAAUGCCGCGUGCAGGAAGAAGGCCUUCGGGUUAUAAACUGCUUUUGUACGGAACGAAACGGCUCUGGUUAAUACCUGGGGCUAAUGACGGUACCGUAAGAACAAGCACCGGCUAACUACGUGCCAGCAGCCGCGGUAAUACGUAGGGUGCAAGCGUUAAUCGGAAUUACUGGGCGUAAAGCGUGCGCAGGCGGUUUUGUAAGACAGGCGUGAAAUCCCCGGGCUCAACCUGGGAAUGGCGCUUGUGACUGCAAAGCUGGAGUGCGGCAGAGGGGGAUGGAAUUCCGCGUGUAGCAGUGAAAUGCGUAGAUAUGCGGAGGAACAUCGAUGGCGAAGGCAAUCCCCUGGGCCUGCACUGACGCUCAUGCACGAAAGCGUGGGGAGCAAACAGGAUUAGAAACCCGGGUAGUCCAGGCGUU
Molecule: ribosomal RNA, 483 nt
Filed under: uncultured bacterium
Lineage: Bacteria
Description: bacterial SSU rRNA
Rfam family: Bacterial small subunit ribosomal RNA
Source: RNAcentral